UACCGGUAAAUAGGACAGUGUUAAAGAG
RNAcentral lists this small RNA (28 nucleotides) under Bombyx mori (domestic silkworm). Its description in RNAcentral is "ovarian small RNA-20740". Lineage: Eukaryota; Metazoa; Arthropoda; Insecta; Lepidoptera; Bombycidae. The record is from RNAcentral.